This 271-nucleotide ribosomal RNA is filed under the name uncultured bacterium. Its description in RNAcentral is "partial 16S ribosomal RNA". It matches the Rfam family "Bacterial small subunit ribosomal RNA", at positions 524 to 794 of the family's 1533-position model. The record is from RNAcentral.
GACGAACCGUGCAAACGUUGUUCGGAAUCACUGGGCUUAAAGGGCGCGUAGGCGGGCCAUCAAGUCAGGGGUGAAAUCCUCCGGCUCAACCGGAGAAUAGCCCUUGAUACUGGUGGUCUCGAGUGAGGUAGGGGCGUGCGGAACUGAUGGUGGAGCGGUGAAAUGUGUUGAUAUCAUCAGGAACUCCGGUGGCGAAAGCGGCGCGCUGGACCUUAACUGACGCUGAGGCGCGAAAGCUAGGGGAGCAAACGGGAUUAGAUACCCCGGUAGU